ACACAUGCAAGUCGAAUGGUAACAGGAAACAGCUUGCUGUUUCGCUGACGAGUGGCGGACGGGUGAGUAAUGUCUGGGAAACUGCCUGAUGGAGGGGGAUAACUACUGGAAACGGUAGCUAAUACCGCAUAACGUCGCAAGACCAAAGAGGGGGACCUUCGGGCCUCUUGCCAUCAGAUGUGCCCAGAUGGGAUUAGCUAGUAGGUGGGGUAACGGCUCACCUAGGCGACGAUCCCUAGCUGGUCUGAGAGGAUGACCAGCCACACUGGAACUGAGACACGGUCCAGACUCCUACGGGAGGCAGCAGUGGGGAAUAUUGCACAAUGGGCGCAAGCCUGAUGCAGCCAUGCCGCGUGUAUGAAGAAGGCCUUCGGGUUGUAAAGUACUUUCAGCGGGGAGGAAGGGAGUAAAGUUAAUACCUUUGCUCAUUGACGUUACCCGCAGAAGAAGCACCGGCUAACUCCGUGCCAGCAGCCGCGGUAAUACGGAGGGUGCAAGCGUUAAUCGGAAUUACUGGGCGUAAAGCGCACGCAGGCGGUUUGUUAAGUCAGAUGUGAAAUCCCCGGGCUCAACCUGGGAACUGCAUCUGAUACUGGCAAGCUUGAGUCUCGUAGAGGGGGGUAGAAUUCCAGGUGUAGCCCGGUGAAAUGCGUAGAG
Molecule: ribosomal RNA, 657 nt
Filed under: uncultured Pseudomonadota bacterium
Lineage: Bacteria; Pseudomonadati; Pseudomonadota
Description: bacterial SSU rRNA
Rfam family: Bacterial small subunit ribosomal RNA
Source: RNAcentral